GAAGAGAGAAGAGAGAAGAGAGAGAGAAGAGAGAAGAGAGAAGAAGAAGAAGAAGCCCUCAUGACUUUCUAGAAAAUAAGACCUUAUGACUUUUGCAUCCGUUGGCGACUCUAGGUAGUUUGCUGGGCCUGGUUCUGCGGACUUGCUUCUGUUUACUUUUGCACUCCAGGCCACGAUGACGCAGUAUCAGACCUGGGAGGAGUUCAGCCAUGCUGCCUGCUGAGAGAGAAGCUUUACCUCGCUGACCCUAUGAAGACACGUGUGGUUCUCAAAUACAGGCAUUCCGAUGGAAACUUGUGUAUUAAAGUAACAGACGAUCGAGUUAGUUUGGUGUCUAAAACAGAGCAAGCUCAACAUGUAAGGAAGAUCCGAGAAAUUCUACAGUCAACUAAUGCGACUGAUGGUAGCCAAGGAAUCCCCGCAGUGUUACCGUGGAAACUGAGUGAAUGGUCUGAAAUGAAGACUUUGUCAUGUGCUUAGGAAGUAAAUAUCUUUUGAAGUAGAGAAAGUGUUGGGACAGAAAAUACUUUAUGUCACUAAGUGGACUAUUCAGAAGCUUAGAGGUCAUUUUUCGUAAUUUUCUUUUGAAUGUUUGCUUUAGAGAGCUAGGAAUGCGAAUGUUUUCAGUCAGAAAGCCUGUAUUUACUUUUGGAAACUGAACAAGCAAUGCAUCUGUCUCGGGAACUUUGCAGAUUAUUUGAUGUUAGGUAAAACGCAUAAUUGUUUCUUUGGCAGAUUUCUAUCAGUACCUUGAAAAUGAGAUAUUAAGAAAAGACAAUUCUUCCUUAAAUUAAGUUCGCCUGUCUUUAAAAGAACUUUAAAUGUAACCAUUUUGUUGGAUCGAGGUAUUUCUUUUGGAGCAUAAAAUGUAUGCUGUCGAUGACCAAUAAAUAUAAAAUAUGGUCAUUGGAAUUAA
This is an RNA transcript of Sapajus apella (tufted capuchin), 916 nucleotides long. It is a transcript of the gene named signal recognition particle 9 kDa protein-like, with no coding region annotated. The transcript has a single exon. The record is from RefSeq and is a predicted model, not a curated record. NCBI's taxonomy places the organism in Eukaryota, Metazoa, Chordata, Mammalia, Primates, Cebidae.